GAUGAAGAACGCAGCGAAAUGCGAUAAGUAAUGUGAAUUGCAGAAUUCAGUGAAUCAUCGAGUGUUUGAACGCACAUUGCGCCCCCUGGUAUUCCGGGGGGCAUGCCUGUCCGAGCGUCAUUGCCGCCCUCAAGCUCGGCUUGUGUGUUGGGCCCCCGCCCCCCGGCUUCGGGGGGCGGGCCCGAAAGGCAGCGGCGGCACCGCGUCCGGUCCUCGAGCGUAUGGGGCUUCGUCACCCGUUCUGUAGGCCCGGCCGGCGCCCGCCGGCGACCCCAAUCAAUCUUUCCAGGUUGACCUCGGAUCAGGUAGGGAUACCCGCUGAACUUAAGCAUAUCAAUAAGCGGAGGA
Molecule: unclassified non-coding RNA, 348 nt
Filed under: soil metagenome
Description: partial contains 5.8S ribosomal RNA, internal transcribed spacer 2, and large subunit ribosomal RNA
Rfam family: 5.8S ribosomal RNA (bases 1-120)
Source: RNAcentral